UUACACAGACAUGUCACCCUGCAGCCUAAGACCGGUUACUUACUGAAGCUAAGCAGAGCUGAGCCUGAUCAGUACCUGGAUGGGAGACCACAUGGGAAAUCUAGGAAGCAGUUGGAA
This is a ribosomal RNA of Danio rerio (zebrafish), 117 nucleotides long. The record is from Ensembl. NCBI's taxonomy places the organism in Eukaryota, Metazoa, Chordata, Actinopteri, Cypriniformes, Danionidae.